UCUUUUUGUUUAAAAUUUAAAGUCUAGUCUGCCCUCUGAUAAAUUGAAUGGCCGCGGUAUUUUGACCGUGCUAAGGUAGCAUAAUCAUUAGUUUUUUAAUUGAAAGCUGGAAUGAAGGGCUGAAUGAAAAAAAAACUGUCUCUAAUUAAUUAUUUUAGAAUUUUAUUUUUAAGUUAAAAAGCUUAAAUUUUAUUAAAAGACGAGAAGACCCUAUAGAGUUUAAUAAUUAUAUAUUAUAAAAAAUUUGGAAUUUAUUUUUUUAUUUUUAUAUAAGAAUUUGAUUGGGGUGAUUAAAAAAUUUAAUAAACUUUUUUAUUUAAUUAUAUUAAUGAAUAAUUAGUUGAUCCAGAAAUUUUGAUUAUAAGAUAAAAUUACCUUAGGGAUAACAGCGUAAUUUUGUUAGAGAGUUCUAAUCGAUAAUAAAGUUUGCGACCUCGAUGUUGGAUUAAAG
RNAcentral lists this ribosomal RNA (451 nucleotides) under Lochmaea capreae (willow leaf beetle). RNAcentral's name for it is "partial 16S ribosomal RNA". The record is from RNAcentral. Lineage: Eukaryota; Metazoa; Arthropoda; Insecta; Coleoptera; Chrysomelidae.